This 915-nucleotide ribosomal RNA is filed under the name uncultured archaeon. RNAcentral describes it as "bacterial SSU rRNA". It matches the Rfam family "Archaeal small subunit ribosomal RNA", at positions 1 to 922 of the family's 1478-position model. The record is from RNAcentral.
UUCCGGUUGAUCCUGCCGGAGAUCACUGCUAUUGGGAUUCGACUAAGCCAUGCGAGUCGAGAGGGUUCGGCCCUCGGCUGACGGCUCAGUAACACGUGGAUAAUCUGCCCUUAGGUGGAGGAUAAUCUCGGGAAACUGAGGAUAAUACUCCAUAGAUCUAGGAUGUUGGAAUGCAUCUAGAUUGAAAGCUCCGGCGCCUAAGGAUGAGUCUGCGGACUAUCAGGUUGUAGUCAGGGUAAAGACCUGACUAGCCUACGACGGAUACGGGUUGUGAGAGCAAUAACCCGGAGACGAUAUCUGAGACACGAUAUCGGGCCCUACGGGGCGCAGCAGGCGCGAAAACUUCACACUGUGCGAAAGCGCGAUGAGGGAAUCCCAAGUGUUUGCUCGUAAGAGUAAACUGUUUCUUUGUUUAAAACGCAGAGAGAGUAAGGGCUGGGUAAGACGGGUGCCAGCCGCCGCGGUAAUACCUGCAGCUCAAGUGGUGAUCAUUAUUAUUGGGCCUAAAACGUCCGUAGCCGGUUUAGUAAAUGCCUGGGUAAAUCGUGUAGCUUAACUAUACGACUUCCGGGUAGACUGCUAAACUUGAGACCGGGAGAGGCUAGAGGUACUCCUGGGGUAGAGGUGAAAUUCUGUAAACCUAGGGGGACCACCAGUGGCGAAGGCGUCUAGCUAGAACGGGUCUGACGGUGAGGGACGAAGCCCUGGGGCACAAACCGGAUUAGAUACCCGGGUAGUCCAGGGUGUAAACGCUGCUUGCUUGAUGUUAGUUGGGCUCCGAGCCCAACUAGUGUCGGAGAGAAGUUGUUAAGCAAGCUGCCUGGGAAGUACGGUCGCAAGGCUGAAACUUAAAGGAAUUGGCGGGGGAGCACAGCAACGGGUGGAGCGUGCGGUUUAAUUGGAUUCAACGCCGGG